GCCUGGGUAGCUCAGUUGGUUAAGCAUCCGACUUCGGCUCAGGUCAUGAUCUCACAGUCCGUGGGUUCGAGCCCCACGUCAGGCU
Molecule: transfer RNA, 85 nt
Filed under: Felis catus (domestic cat)
Lineage: Eukaryota; Metazoa; Chordata; Mammalia; Carnivora; Felidae
Rfam family: tRNA
About the family: Transfer RNA (tRNA) molecules are approximately 80 nucleotides in length. Their secondary structure includes four short double-helical elements and three loops (D, anti-codon, and T loops). Further hydrogen bonds mediate the characteristic L-shaped molecular structure. tRNAs have two regions of fundamental functional importance: the anti-codon, which is responsible for specific mRNA codon recognition, and the 3' end, to which the tRNAs corresponding amino acid is attached (by aminoacyl-tRNA synthetases). tRNAs cope with the degeneracy of the genetic code in two manners: having more than one tRNA (with a specific anti-codon) for a particular amino acid; and 'wobble' base-pairing, i.e. permitting non-standard base-pairing at the 3rd anti-codon position.
Source: Rfam by way of RNAcentral